AGAGUUUGAUCCUGGCUCAAAGUGAACGCUGGCGGUAUGCUUAACACAUGCAAGUCGAACGAGAACGGCUCUAGCUUGCUAGGGUGUCAGCUAAGUGGCGGACGGGUGAGUAAUAUAUAGCUAACCUGCCCAUAAGUAAGGGAUAACACUUAGAAAUGAGUGCUAAUACCUUAUAAUCCUUAAUGAUAUUAAGUUGUUGAGGCAAAGAAUUUCGCUUAUGGAUGGGGCUAUAUUGUAUCAGCUUGUUGUUAGGGUAAUGGCCUAACAAGGCUAUGACACAUAGUUGGUCUAAGAGGAUGACCAGCCACACUGGAACUGAGACACGGUCCAGACUCCUACGGGAGGCAGCAGUGGGGAAUAUUGCACAAUGGGCGAAAGCCUGAUGCAGCAAUACCGCGUGGAGGAUGAAUCAUUUAGGUGUGUAAACUCCUUUUAUAUAGGAAGAUAAUGACGGUACUAUAUGAAUAAGCACCGGCUAACUCCGUGCCAGCAGCCGCGGUAAUACGGAGGGUGCAAGCGUUACUCGGAAUCACUGGGCGUAAAGAGUGUGUAGGCGGUUUGGUAAGUCAGAUGUGAAAUCCUAUGGCUCAA
This 591-nucleotide ribosomal RNA is filed under the name uncultured bacterium. RNAcentral describes it as "bacterial SSU rRNA". It matches the Rfam family "Bacterial small subunit ribosomal RNA", at positions 8 to 612 of the family's 1533-position model. The record is from RNAcentral.